Molecule: ribosomal RNA, 409 nt
Filed under: uncultured bacterium
Lineage: Bacteria
Description: bacterial SSU rRNA
Rfam family: Bacterial small subunit ribosomal RNA
Source: RNAcentral
AGAGUUUGAUCCUGGCUCAGGACGAACGCUGGCGGCGUGCCUAACACAUGCAAGUCGAGCGAUGAGACCCUUCGGGGCGGAUUAGCGGCGGACGGGUGAGUAACACGUGGGUAACCUACCUCAAAGAGGGGGAUAGCCUCCCGAAAGGGAGAUUAAUACCGCAUAACAUUAGUUUUUCGCAUGAAGAACUAAUUAAAGGAGUAAUCCGCUUUGAGAUGGACCCGCGGCGCAUUAGCUAGUUGGUGAGGUAAUAGCUCACCAAGGCGACGAUGCGUAGCCGACCUGAGAGGGUGAUCGGCCACAUUGGAACUGAGACACGGCCCAGACUCCUACGGGAGGCAGCAGUGGGGAAUCUUCCGCAAUGGGCGCAAGCCUGACGGAGCAACGCCGCGUGAGUGAAGAAGGUUUU